Molecule: ribosomal RNA, 442 nt
Filed under: Treponema sp. canine oral taxon 209
Lineage: Bacteria; Pseudomonadati; Spirochaetota; Spirochaetia; Treponematales; Treponemataceae
Description: bacterial SSU rRNA
Rfam family: Bacterial small subunit ribosomal RNA
Source: RNAcentral
UCUUAAACAUGCAAGUCGAACGGCAAGAGAAAAGCUUGCUUUUCUCCAAGAGUGGCGGACUGGUGAGUAACACGUGGGUGACAUACCUUUUAGUUGGGGAUAGCUAUUAGAAAUAGUAGGUAAUACCGAAUACGAUCAUGCAGGUUAGAGCUGUAUGAGGAAAGGAGCUAAGGCUUCGCUGGAAGAAUGGCUCGCGGCCCAUUAGCUAGUUGGUGAGGUAACGGCCCACCAAGGCAAUGAUGGGUAUCCGGCCUGAGAGGGUGAACGGACACAUUGGGACUGAGAUACGGCCCAGACUUCUACGGGAGGCAGCAGUUAAGAAUAUUCCGCAAUGGACGCAAGUCUGACGGAGCGACGCCGCGUGGAUGAAGAAUGCCGAAAGGUUGUAAAAUCCUUUUAAGCCUGAUGAAUAAGCAGAGGAGGGAAUGCCUUUGCGGUGACA